Molecule: non-coding RNA, 193 nt
Filed under: Paenibacillus zeirhizosphaerae
Lineage: Bacteria; Bacillati; Bacillota; Bacilli; Caryophanales; Paenibacillaceae
Description: 6S RNA
Rfam family: 6S / SsrS RNA
About the family: E. coli 6S RNA was the first non coding RNA to be sequenced, but its function was unknown until recently.
Source: RNAcentral
CACCUCCUGCUGUGUACGUUACGACCAUUCGUUGUUUUGAACCAAUGACAUUGUCUAGGGAGAUCUACAUGGGAAGCGGCUGAAAAGCCCUGUCACUUUUGACAUGGGGACUUCAAAUGCUAUUCCUGCGAUCACCCACCUGCUGAAGCAGGUUCAGAAGACACUAUGGUCGGACGGCAUCGGCGGGUACAAU